This 443-nucleotide long non-coding RNA is filed under the name Monodelphis domestica (gray short-tailed opossum). RNAcentral describes it as "lncRNA (ENSMODG00000047065.1)". Lineage: Eukaryota; Metazoa; Chordata; Mammalia; Didelphimorphia; Didelphidae. The record is from RNAcentral.
UGAGAAGCAAAAUGGAGUAAAAAAGAGCAAGAAGGCUUCAGUUGGUUUUGUUUGUUUGUUUGUUUUCCCAGAUUUUCUUCAGACUUCAAGCAGUUCAGGGUGCUUCUGACUUCUAGCUUCAAAAAGGAAGAUAGAAGAGGACAACCUCAUUUCAGAUUUCUAAAGAAUAAGAUUUGGGGAAGACAUGAGAAGAGACAAUAUGAGAAGAGACAUCAUGUCCCUAUCCUUAACUACAUUAGAGAUCACAAGAAGUUUCCUUUGGGGUCAAGUAAUGCAAAUUUCUGGAGGGAAUGUCUUUGCUGAUUCAUCUACUAUUUUUCAAGCUCCCUCUCCCAGAGUUAAGAAGCAAUUCCACUGGGUUAUACAGACAGAAAACCUAUGGAUAGAAGAUGAAAAGAGUAAAAUUACAGGUUGAUAUAAGGAAAUAUUUUAAAUAAAUGGAG